Molecule: ribosomal RNA, 422 nt
Filed under: uncultured bacterium
Lineage: Bacteria
Description: bacterial SSU rRNA
Rfam family: Bacterial small subunit ribosomal RNA
Source: RNAcentral
UUGUUCGCAAUGGGCGCAAGCCUGACGACGCAACGCCGCGUGGAGGAUGAAGACUUUCGGGUCGUAAACUCCUUUCGACCGAGAUGAAUAUCCUCCGGGCUAAUACCCCGGAGGACUGACAGUAUCGAGAGAAGAAGCCCCGGCUAACUCCGUGCCAGCAGCCGCGGUAAUACGGGGGGGGCAAGCGUUGUUCGGAAUUACUGGGCGUAAAGGGUUCGUAGGUGGCCAACUCAGUCAGACGUGAAAUCCCUCGGCUCAACCGGGGAACUGCGUCUGAUACUGGAUGGCUCGAGUGCAGGAGAGGAACGCGGAAUUCCAGGUGUAGCGGUGAAAUGCGUAGAUAUCUGGAGGAACACCGGUGGCGAAGGCGGCGUUCUGGACUGUAACUGACACUGAGGAACGAAAGCCAGGGGAGCAAACGG